Molecule: ribosomal RNA, 497 nt
Filed under: uncultured bacterium
Lineage: Bacteria
Description: partial 16S ribosomal RNA
Rfam family: Bacterial small subunit ribosomal RNA
Source: RNAcentral
GAUGAACGCUGGCGGCGUGCCUAAUAUAUGCAAGUCGAGCGAACAGACGAGGAGCUUGCUCCUCUGACGUUAGCGGCGGACGGGUGAGUAACACGUGGAUACCCUCCUUAUAAGACUGGGAUAACUUCGGGAAACCGGAGCUAAUACCGGAUAAUCUAUUGAACCGCAUGGUUUAAUUGUCAAAGACGGUUUUGCUUUUACUUAUAGAUGGCUCCGCGCCGCAUUAGCUAGUUGGUAAGGUACCGGCUUACCAAGGCAACGAUGCUUAGCCGACCUGAGAGGGUGAUCGGCCACACUGGAACUGAGACACGGUCCAGACUCCUACGGGAGGCAGCAGUAGGGAAUCAUCCGCAAAGGGCGAAAGGCUGACGGAGCAAAGCCGCGUGAGGGAUGAAGAUCUUCGGAUCGUAAAACUCGGUUAUUAGGGAAGAACAAAUGUGUAAGUAACGAGGCACGUCUUGACGGUACCUAAUCAGAAAGCCACGGCUAACCACGUG